This 382-nucleotide ribosomal RNA is filed under the name Klebsiella pneumoniae. RNAcentral describes it as "bacterial SSU rRNA". It matches the Rfam family "Bacterial small subunit ribosomal RNA", at positions 784 to 1164 of the family's 1533-position model. The record is from RNAcentral. Lineage: Bacteria; Pseudomonadati; Pseudomonadota; Gammaproteobacteria; Enterobacterales; Enterobacteriaceae.
CCCUGGGUAGUCCACGCCGUAAACGGAUGUCGAUUUGGGAGGUUGUGCCCUUGAGGCGUGGCUUCCGGAGCUAACGCGUUAAAUCGACCGCCUGGGGAGUACGGCCGCAAGGUUAAAACUCAAAUGAAUUGACGGGGGCCCGCACAAGCGGUGGAGCAUGUGGUUUAAUUCGAUGCAACGCGAAGAACCUUACCUGGUCUUGACAUCCACAGAACUUUCCAGAGAUGGAUUGGUGCCUUCGGGAACUGUGAGACAGGUGCUGCAUGGCUGUCGUCAGCUCGUGUUGUGAAAUGUUGGGUUAAGUCCCGCAACGAGCGCAACCCUUAUCCUUUGUUGCCAGCGGUCCGGCCGGGAACUCAAAGGAGACUGCCAGUGAUAAACU